AAGCAUCUACUACAAAUUCCUGAAAUAGUUUUUCAGCUCUCAAAAUUGUUGAAUACUCAACGUCACGUUGAAACAUACGAUAACUGUAAUAUUGCAACACGUUGGAACAUACGAUAACUGUAAUAUUGCAAUUGUGUCUAUCGAGUAAAUGAAUGUCCACCUUGGGAAGCGUUCUAAUGUUUCAAAUCUGAAUUCCAUCCUAGCUCACCACAAGGGAAUAAUAACACAUAAUGCAAUGGUAAAUAGGUCGGAUGACACUCAUUAAUUUGAGUCAAACCAUUAUCCCCUCUCAAAUGUAACAUAAUAUCUCUCAUUCCAUUUGAUUCCUCCCGAUAAUAUAACCGCAAUCUCAUCAGUUGUUGGGAGAUUAUAUCAACGCCGGUUUGUUACAGAACUAUGGUGAAAAUAUGACGAUAAAUUCACCCCGUCAAUUCCAAUUCACUUAAAAUUGUGUGAGCCUGCGAAAAUUUCAUAGAAAAAGGAUUAACUUGCAAUAAAUAAUUUUGUAUGGUUUUCAAAACAUCUUUUCUCAAGUUAGGAUUUUUGUUGCUGCGAACAUCUAAAGUUGAAUUAGGAUAAUAAAUGUACAAUUGAGAAUAAAUUGGUUCACACCCUGACUGUGGCAUAAGAGAUCUUGUUCGAUGGCGUAAUUCUCUAUGGAUGGUGAAUGUUUUAGGCCCCCUCCCGACAAUUAAUCUGUCAUCCAAAAUAGCAUCAAGAUGUAAACGCAUAAAAAUCCGAACUAAAGAAUUUGUGUCUCGCUUGAUCAUUAGUUACUGAGAGGUUAAAAAUAUAUCUUCUCUUGGCAUUAUACUCUCGUGUGUGCUGAUGAAACGAUUUUGAUUGUUCAUCAUCGUCGUCAUACAAUGAUUUAAAGAGGUGCAAUAAGUGGAGGUAGUCAAAGAGAGGAUUUGAUAUAAAUGAUUUUGUUAAUUUUUCAGCAAGACGUUGUAAGGUAGAACAAUGAAGACAUGGUUUCGAGAAUUAAAUGCAACAUUUAUAGCUACAACUUCUAUUGUGUAGGCACUACAAAUAAAAUUAUAGAUGUCAUACAAUUUUUAAAAGUUAAACAUGAAUAAGACAGCAAGUGUUCGUUGAGUUCAGUUCCUACUAAAGUUAUCGUAUGAAUAAGACAGCAAGUGUCCGUUCCGUUCAGUUCAGCAAGGAAAACAUGAAUCAGUUCAGUUCUGUUCCUACUAAAGUAGAAGACGACUCUUGUCCUGCUCAAUCCAUUUUUUGAGCCUAUGAUCCAAAUAUGUUGUUUACAAACUCAAUCCAUUUGAGUUUUCUCACAUUAUUUCUUUAAACUUUAUAAAAUAAAAAAGACUAUCACCCAAACAAAUAAUGAAAUAGAAAUACAAUACAUUUUUUUUUUAUUAUUUGGUUUAUUCUUUUUGGGGAUUUUAACUUACAACUCAAACUAAUUAAGUAUAAACUUCAUAUUUAAAAUUAAUAAUUAAAUAAAUAUAUCAAAAAUAAUACAUUACUUUUGUUUCUAUAACAAAAAAUAUAGUACUUGAGAAUAAUAUUUUAUUCUAAUUAUGGUGGUCAAUUGGGACAACAAAUUUAAAUUGCAUCAGGAUAUUAUUCCAUAUUGGUAAUUAUAGGGAGCAUCGGUCUUAGUUCCUAGGAAGCUUUAUAUUAGAGUUGCAAUUCCAGCAUCAGUCUCAGUCGUAUCGAUUGAUUGAAUAAAACCGGAUCAUCAUGCAGAAUAUCAGUAUGAAAAGACCAGGUUUGAGUUUCUUUGAAUACAAAUAUCACUUAAAACAAAACAGCACAGCACAGCAGUAAUAUAAGAUCGAUGAAAAAUCAUAUUGAUUCGAAAGAGAAUCAUGGAUGUACCUUUGGCAGCCCAACAGAAUGAGAACCUUAUUCAGAUUUUUUUGCUGGCAUCUCUUACUGCAAAGAUGAGGAAGAGAGAAGAAAGGUCUAGAUGCGGCUUAUGUAGGUAGGCAGGCCGGCUGACUCUAUCUUUAUAUAGGUACUAGCUUUGGUUCACGCUCAAUGCAGGGUCUUAGCAAACCCUGAUUUUCACAUUUUAAUUUUUCUAAAGUCAAUUAUGAUUCAAUAAGUCAUGACAGACCGGAA
Molecule: long non-coding RNA, 2088 nt
Filed under: Panax ginseng (ginseng)
Lineage: Eukaryota; Viridiplantae; Streptophyta; Magnoliopsida; Apiales; Araliaceae
Description: long non-coding RNA (PGIN_LNC007519)
Source: RNAcentral